UAUAGAGUUUGAUCCUGGCUCAGAUUGAACGCUGGCGGCGUGCCUAACACAUGCAAGUCGAGCGGUAACAGGUGUAGCAAUACAUGCUGACGAGCGGCGAACGGGUGAGUAAUGCUUCGGAAUCUACCCUCUAGUGGGGAAUAACCAGCCGAAAGGUUGGCUAAUACCGCAUACGUCCUACGGGAGAAAGCAGGGGAUCGUAAGACCUUGCGCUGAUGGAUGAGCCGAAGUCGGAUUAGCUAGUUGGUGAGGUAACGGCUCACCAAGGCGACGAUCCGUAGCUGGUCUGAGAGGACGACCAGCCACACUGGGACUGAGACACGGCCCAGACUCCUACGGGAGGCAGCAGUAGGGAAUCUUGCGCAAUGGGGGAAACCCUGACGCAGCGACGCCGCGUGCGGGAUGAAGGCCUUCGGGUCGUAAACCGCUUUCAGCAGGGACGAAAUUGACGGUACCUGCAGAAGAAGGCCCGGCCAACUACGUGCCAGCAGCCGCGGUAA
RNAcentral lists this ribosomal RNA (500 nucleotides) under uncultured bacterium. RNAcentral describes it as "bacterial SSU rRNA". It matches the Rfam family "Bacterial small subunit ribosomal RNA", at positions 1 to 523 of the family's 1533-position model. The record is from RNAcentral.